GUCUCUUCUUUCUUCCCAUGUUCUUCAUCUUCUUCUUUUUCUUAUUCUGCUUCUCGCCUCUGGCGAUUCCGAGAAUUAAUUUGAGAGAAUGAAUUUAUGAAGAUUGUUCAGUCCUUAAAGGUGAAGGUGUUCUGGUUAAUUAAGAAGGAGGAGAGUUAUGGGUUUCUGUUUGAGGUGAUGCAGAGAGAAUCGAUUUAAGGUUCCAGAGUUGUUUGAGAUUUUAUUGAAUUGAUCCGUGUUUUGAGUAGAAGAUGGAUGAAGAAUGAGAGGGUUGGUGUUUAAUUGAAGUUUUGAAGUUGAGUUGUUGAAGAAUUAUAGAGUUAGGGUUCUGUGAAGAAGGAGAUGAGAGGAAAUAGGGUUUUGAGUUCGAUUUUAGGCUUGCAUGAGAUUGAGAGGAUGAAAUUGAUGUUCUAAGAUGUCGAAUUGAGAUGCAUUACGAGUGAUUGGAGGGAUUGAAGAGGAGUUACAGAUGCAGUUAUGUCCCGGAGGAUGAAAUUGAAGAGGGUGAUUGAUCAAUUAGGGUUACAGUAGAAUUGCUUUGGUGAGCCAGCAAUUGAGAAGAUGUCACUGUUUGGGUAAGCUCUUAAUUGUUUAAUUUUGGUACUUUUGAGUUGAAUUGCUAAGAUUCAUUGAAGUUUUAUGCUUGUGAUUGAAUCUGAGUUUGGGAUGAUUAAGUAACGAAACAAUGAUUGUAUUUAGAAGUGAUGUUUUAGUAAAGCGAUUGUUGAGUUUGAAGUAGAGGUGAUAUUGGUGUGUACAGAGAAGGAUUGGGUUUGUGCUUACUCUAGUUGUUCCAGAGAAUGAUGUUGUUGGUAGUGCAGGUGGUGCUGCUUUUAGAAAUAUGUGAGAUUGUUGUUGCAGGAAGGGUGUUGGUGGAAUAUUAUAUUGGUGGUGUUGAGAUUGAAUGAACUGAACUGGUGUAUUUUUGAUGUGUGAAGUGAGUGUUGAAUUAAGAUAAAGAAGGAAGCAGAGUCAAUUGCUUAAAUGGAACCGUUUGAGGUAAUUGCUUUCUAAGAAUCUAACUCAGUUAUUCAGUUUCAUUGUUUGAUUAUGUGUGAUUAUUAAUGGACUCACAAUUGAGUUAGAUGAAAGGGGAUAUAUGUGUGAAACAUAAUUUGUUGGUAGUGGUUGUGUAAGAUACAAGAUUUGGAAAUUAAUGAGCUGUUAUAGAAUUGGUUUUGUGGUCAAUGAGGAUUUAGUGAUGCAGUGAAAUUGAGUUACAUAUUAUUAUGUACUGCAUUCUGGGUUGCAGUUGUCGAAGUAUGAUUGUGCUGGUGAACUUCUUUGUAAGAAAGUUGUGUAUGGAGUAAGUUUAUAUAAAUGAAUUGUUGCAGAUAUUAGUGGUGGUUUUGUAUGUGGGGUGUGUAUGGAUGAAAGGGUGGAAUUCUUGAGUACUGAAGUUAUGUAGAAUAGAGUGUUGAUGCUAUGCUUGUAGUUAGUAGUAGUUUUAGUUGAAUCUUGAUGUUGCAGGGGAGAUGCAAGUGCAGAGCAUGGAUGUUGGAGUUAUACUUGAGAUGAGAUGGGUAGUGAGUGAUCUUGUGUAAGAAGAAUGAGAUAGUAAAGAUGUAGAUAGUGAUAACUGCAUGGUUGUAGAUGGCAGCUUCAGUGAAGGCGUGCAUCUGAUGUUGCAGUUAGUCUAUAUUAACAACGAUCGAUUCAAAGGAGGAACCAGUGGAUCGUGGAUCUCGAGGUAGGCGUGGCUUGUCGUCAAAAGAGGUGGGAAUACAUUUGACUCUUUUGUAACUAUUGUUGUUUCAUUUACGAAAGUCUUUGUUUAAUAAAAUCAUGCAUUGUCUAGUUGUGCACUCCAUGCUUUAUUUAAAUUGCAUUAUGAUUAUUCUGUUAGUUCUGUUAAUCUUUCCAUGGUUUGGAAAGGAAUUGUAAUGUUUUGUUGUCGUCAUGAAUUAUUAUGGGAAAUAAGAAUUUCCA
Long non-coding RNA from Papaver somniferum (opium poppy), 1929 nucleotides. RefSeq lists it as uncharacterized. NCBI's taxonomy places the organism in Eukaryota, Viridiplantae, Streptophyta, Magnoliopsida, Ranunculales, Papaveraceae. The transcript is spliced from 2 exons. The record is from RefSeq and is a predicted model, not a curated record.